Clostridium tetani E88 is the source of this 98-nucleotide regulatory RNA element. It matches the Rfam family "Purine riboswitch aptamer". Rfam says of the family: Riboswitches are metabolite binding domains within certain messenger RNAs that serve as precision sensors for their corresponding targets. Allosteric rearrangement of mRNA structure is mediated by ligand binding, and this results in modulation of gene expression. The record is from Rfam. Lineage: Bacteria; Bacillati; Bacillota; Clostridia; Eubacteriales; Clostridiaceae.
CUCUAUAAUAAAUUAUUGACUCAUAUAUCCCCUUAAUAAGGUAGGGAGUAUCUACCAGAAGCCUUAAACUUCUGACUAUGAGUGAAUAAAGCAUUGUC